Molecule: ribosomal RNA, 1341 nt
Filed under: uncultured bacterium
Lineage: Bacteria
Description: partial 16S ribosomal RNA
Rfam family: Bacterial small subunit ribosomal RNA
Source: RNAcentral
GACGAACGCUGGCGGCGUGCUUAACACAUGCAAGUCGAACGGUAAGGCUCCAGCUUGCUGGGGUACACGAGUGGCGAACGGGUGAGUAACACGUGGGUGACCUGCCCUGCACUUCGGGAUAAGCCUGGGAAACUGGGUCUAAUACCGGAUAGGACCGCACCGUGAGGGUGUGGUGGAAAGUUUUUUCGGUGUGGGAUGGGCCCGCGGCCUAUCAGCUUGUUGGUGGGGUAAUGGCCUACCAAGGCGGCGACGGGUAGCCGGCCUGAGAGGGUGGACGGCCACAUUGGGACUGAGACACGGCCCAGACUCCUACGGGAGGCAGCAGUGGGGAAUAUUGCACAAUGGGCGGAAGCCUGAUGCAGCGACGCCGCGUGGGGGAUGACGGCCUCCGGGUUGUAAACUCCUUUCACCAUCGACGAAGGGUUUCUGACGGUAGAUGGAGAAGAAGCACCGGCUAACUACGUGCCAGCAGCCGCGGUAAUACGUAGGGUGCGAGCGUUGUCCGGAAUUACUGGGCGUAAAGAGCUCGUAGGUGGUUUGUCGCGUCGUCUGUGAAAUUCCGGGGCUUAACUCCGGGCGUGCAGGCGAUACGGGCAUAACUUGAGUACUGUAGGGGAGACUGGAAUUCCUGGUGUAGCGGUGAAAUGCGCAGAUAUCAGGAGGAACACCGGUGGCGAAGGCGGGUCUCUGGGCAGUAACUGACGCUGAGGAGCGAAAGCAUGGGGAGCGAACAGGAUUAGAUACCCUGGUAGUCCAUGCCGUAAACGGUGGGCGCUAGGUGUGGGUUUCCUUCCACGGGAUCCGUGCCGUAGCUAACGCAUUAAGCGCCCCGCCUGGGGAGUACGGCCGCAAGGCUAAAACUCAAAGGAAUUGACGGGGGCCCGCACAAGCGGCGGAGCAUGUGGAUUAAUUCGAUGCAACGCGAAGAACCUUACCUGGGCUUGACAUAUACAGGAUCGCGCCAGAGAUGGUGUUUCCCUUGUGGCUUGUAUACAGGUGGUGCAUGGUUGUCGUCAGCUCGUGUCGUGAGAUGUUGGGUUAAGUCCCGCAACGAGCGCAACCCUUGUCUUAUGUUGCCAGCACGUUGUGGUGGGGACUCGUAAGAAACUGCCGGGGUUAACUCGGAGGAAGGUGGGGAUGACGUCAAAUCAUCAUGCCCCUUAUGUCCAGGGCUUCACACAUGCUACAAUGGUCGGUACAGUGGGUUGCCAGUCCGUGAGGGCGAGCUAAUCCCGCAAAGCCGGUCUCAGUUCGGAUCGGGGUCUGCAACUCGACCCCGUGAAGUCGGAGUCGCUAGUAAUCGCAGAUCAGCAACGCUGCGGUGAAUACGUUCCCGGGCCU